This 457-nucleotide ribosomal RNA is filed under the name uncultured bacterium. Its description in RNAcentral is "bacterial SSU rRNA". It matches the Rfam family "Bacterial small subunit ribosomal RNA", at positions 1 to 507 of the family's 1533-position model. The record is from RNAcentral.
AUACGUAGUUUGAUCAUGGCUACAGAACGACGCUGGCGGCAUGCCUAACACAUGCAAGUCGAACGAAGGCUUCGGCCUUAGUGGCGCACGGGUGCGUAACGCGUGGGAACCUGCCCCUCGGUUCGGAAUAACAGUUAGAAAUGACUGCUAAUACCGGAUGAUGACUUCGGUCCAAAGAUUUAUCGCCGAGGGAUGGGCCCGCGUAGGAUUAGCUAGUUGGUGGGGUAAAGGCCUACCAAGGCGACGAUCCUUAGCUGGUCUGAGAGGAUGAUCAGCCACACUGGGACUGAGACACGGCCCAGACUCCUACGGGAGGCAGCAGUGGGGAAUAUUGGACAAUGGGCGAAAGCCUGAUCCAGCAAUGCCGCGUGAGUGAUGAAGGCCUUAGGGUUGUAAAGCUCUUUUACCAGGGAUGAUAAUGACAGUACCUGGAGAAUAAGCUCCGGCUAACUCCGUG